AUAUCUCAUGCAUUUUCAUCUAUUUCUUUUGUUUUCAUUCAUAAUAAUAUAAACUAGUUAUUAGAUUCUACUUUUUUUAAUAUAGAUUAUGUUCCAAUUAUAUGUUAUUUAUUAUUGCUCUCUCUCACCAUGGUAUUUAAAACCUUGCAGCUACGCAAUUGAAGAAGCCCGACUUUUACAAGUAUCUUGGCUCGAUUGUCGUUGGAGCAUGGAUGCAUCUGAUUUCAAACAAGAUAUUUGGUACAAUGCAAGCGUUGAAGUAAUGUUGACAAGCAACGCCUCUGGAUGGAAUGUUCCACUACACCUUGAAAUCGAGUUGCCAGAUGGGAGUACGCAAAAGUCUCAAAUAGUAUUGGCAGGCAGACAACCAAAUGUGUGGUUCAAGAUUCCAAUCGGUAAAUUCAUACUAAGCGGUUCUCUGACUAGCGGAACAAUCCGAUUCGGCUUCUACAACCAUGAAGGGAAUUGGAAAAGAGGCUUGAACAUAAGAGCCCUUGCCAUUCAAGCAUAAAAAUGAGUUUAAAAUGAUAUGUUCAAGAAUGAAUAUAAAGUAAUAGAAUAAAACCCUAAAUAAUAAGAUCUUUUGCUAUGUUACAAAAACUUUUAAGUUUAAAUGUGUUAUAUUUCAGUUAUGCAAGUAAAUGUUGAAUAUAAUGUAACACAACAUAAAUAAUAUGACCUUUUGCAUAGUAGCAAUAAGGCCACUUUAAACACUUUAGUAUGUUUUUUAAUAAAGUAUGUACCGUGAGUUUAUUCUAAUUAAAUUUAAGCAUUUAUUUUGUGAUUAUUGAUUAUUUUGUACGUACGUCAUAUAACAAACAUGUUGGAAAUUAAAGAGAUAAAAUGAAAACAAGUGAACACGAUCAUAAUUUUGGAUCUUAUUAAUUUGUUAAUUAAAGGAAAUGAAUGAACAAAGAGUAAUAUGAGAAGACAAAAUUAACACUUUUUGUAAAUGAUGUUGCAAGAGUCGCUUUUAUGUUGUGAUGGAUUAGUUUUACCACCUAUUGAUUUUCAAUUAAAUAGUGACAAGUACUAUUUUAGGGUUCUCCUUAACCGAGCACAAUAUGUAAUAUGUCGAUGUAAACCACCACUUCUUGAUAGUAAGAGUAGCGAGGUCCGAUUUAACCACACAAGAAGCUUCGUGUUUAACAUUACUCUAAGGUAAAUUUUCUAAGGAACAAAGUAUAUAGUGGAGAAGUGGUUGAUAGGUAAAGUAAAUGACAUAAAUAAAGUGUGGGAAUGUAAGAUAAUAGUGAGAAAUAAAAGGGUUACCUGUAGAUUACCUUUCGAUUGAAAGAUUGUUGGGAUAGAUCGUACAGAUUGGUUCAUCGAUUUUUUAUAUAUAAGAAAUCGGACUAAGUCUAGAUACUUACUUGGACGACAAAUUAAGAUUCAUAUAACAUGUCACAAACUCCCUUGGAACGGGCCUUCUACGUAACGAGUGAGGAUAUGACUUGUGCGAACCAACGUUUCGAGAUGAAACGUCAGAUCGCCAAGGUCCUUUAAACUUAACUUAAACCUUCGGCGUAACCAUGCUGGUGAAAACUUCUGCUAUGCAGUAGGACUAUGAACGAUUUAAAAAUUAGUGAUCCUUUUAUUAAAAAUCCUAUUACAACACAAGCGUACAACUUAUAACUUAAGGGAUUGCAAAACUUAAGCUAACUACUACUACUAACACACGACACUUCUAGUACUUAGCAGCGGCCUCAUCUCGCCUCACCUGAUGACACUUCAAUGUUUAACCUAGGGACAGGAACAUAAAACAUAAGCUAAUAGCUUAGCGAGUAACAAAGAUUAGUUAGAAAUACAAUUUGGGAAAUACAAUUGCAUACAAUAAAAGCUUUCUUAUUUCCAUGGUUAAGUUUCAGACAUGAGUUUUGAGUUUAGAUUUCUUAAUGAGAUUUAUAUUAUCAUGUGAAUAAUGAGUUUCUAGAAAAUAAUUGAAACGACAGUGUUUCAAGCAAAGCACGUUUUAGAAAUUAUUGAUUAAAGAAUUUAUGUUGAUUUUACGACUGAGGCACUGAAUCAAAGGCUGUAUGGUAUUGUGUGAACAUGUGUUUAUAUUCCAUUGUCGUCAUUGAGUAUACCUCUACGACAACGAUGUUGUUGGGGGUGAUGGACUAGGCCCCACCACGACAAAGAUGAUGUGAUGGGCGAUGCUCCUACAUCAUAAAUUUUAUGUUAAGAAUGAAUGUUAUUUUUUUUCCAGCAAGACGAUCCUUAUCUGUAUCGAGUGAUCACUACCACAUCGGGGUGAGUUAGAAACCACAACUUAUCGAGAAUAUCAUUGUCUGUAUUCGAGUAACUAUACCACAAAGUGGUUAGAUGAGUUGUCAAUUAGAUAGCCAACAACAAAACUGAGACAUGCGUAGUGAAUUCACGGAUUAAAUUUUACUCUAAAUGCAACUAAACAAUUUAAAGAUUAAGAUGCUUAUAAACUACCCUAAUUAAAUGAAAUAAGGGUUAAAGAAAGAACAUAGCUUUGAAGUUUUCCAGUUCUCGUAAUCUCCUCAUGAACAUGAAAACGAGACCAUCAUUAGAAUUUAUUCGCUAUUCUCCAGACUUAGAAUCUAGUUGUGGGACCCAAUUGGUGAAAAAAAUUGAGAGAGACGAAAAAGGGAGAUAAAAUUAGGUUUGAGAUUUGGAAGAGAGUGACUCUGGUAAAGUUUUGUAAAAAUACAAAAGUAACAAAAGUUUCAAAAUUCUUGAAAAAAUUGAAAAUAGGUCUUUAAAUAACCUAAUUACAUGCAAAAUUUUAUGUAAUUAGUUGGUCAAAUCUCAACACCUAACAUUUCACUAAACACUAGUGAAACUUAGUGGGCUAAGUGUUUACAUCUCAUGUACCAACCAAAAAAUUAGUGAGAUUAUGCAAAGAAAUGUUGGAUUUUUCCACUAACUUUAGUCCAAGGACAAUAUGAUCAUUUAACCAUUUAAAUCAAAGUCAAACUUUGACUUCUUCAAGUCAAAAAUCAACAUUUUGACCUUUUACCAUUUUGUCUGUCUCGUCUAAUUUCGACCUCCCUAGCAUGAAUUUGCAUUCAUUUUUCUAAAAUUCAAAUCUCAUUUAAAUUUAAAGUUGGUCAAAGUUUGAUUUUUCAGAGUUAAAAGUCAACCUUUUGAACUUUUACAACUUUGACCAUUUCAAUUAAUUAUGAGCUUUCGAAUAUGAAUUCACAUCCAUAUUCUAUUAUAUUGACGGUAAUAUUCCUAACAUUGCAACUACUGUUUACAACUUCUUCCUAAUAUUUCCACUGUGAGAGAUGAUGCUAGGAAGGGCGUGUGACAAAAUCUCACGAAAAUACAUCUUCCAAAUAUUAAAAAAUUACCCAAACUAGCAAUGUAGUACAAUGAAAGUAAGGAUCGUGUCCACGGAAAACUUUUGAUCAGUGAAGAAAUCCUAAAAAAUCUCAUUGAACCAAAUAGUGAUUUCAAAAAUUGAGAAAAGAAGAAGGAAUAUGAUGGGGGUUUUAACAUUCAAGAAAGUAAAAAAAAAAAAAAGGGACCUAUAGUGAGAACAUCCAUUUCAAGAAUUGAUAUCAACAAAGUCAAAAGGGUUUUCUUUGAUAUCAAUCAACGGGGUUUUCUUCAAGAAAUAAAAGACUCAUUUGAUUUGAUAUGUUAUUCUUACCAUAGGGUUAAAGAAACAGGUUACAAGAACCGUGGUUCUUGUUCAAUUAAUUCAAGAUCUCAAAUGGAAAUUAUAAUUCAUUUAGCAAUUAAUUGCAAGAAUCAAUCCUUGAAAAGACAAAUGCAAGAAAUUGGUAGCCCUAAUUCCUCAAGAAUGUGAUCUGCACACUAACUUAAACUUGAACUCGAAAGAUUAAAAUGCCCAAAUUUCAAUCUAAAGAAAAUUUUAUUUCAAGAAACUAAGUUAUUAUAAAAUCACAAUCACAAUUCAAACAACAAAAUUUAUAAAAGAAACCCUCAAAUAAUAAAAAAAAAUUAACCCAAUACCUUCUUUUUUACCUUAGCCUACAAGAAUCAUUGCAAUUUUUGCAGAGUUUUGGUAAAGAAAAGAUGUCGUGGGUCUCCGUCGUAGUGGAUUUCCUCGUCGUAUGUCGUCAUCGCCAUGUGUCUCCUCGUUGUAGGUCUUCGUCGCUGAGAAGAAAGAUCAUGGAGAGAAGAAUGGGGUUGGCGUUCGGGUUUUUUGGGUUCUGUCGUGAAGAAAAUAUUGAAGAAAGGGGAAAAUAAAAAAAAAAAUUAUAUUUUCAUAAUUUUUAAUGAAAAGUUGGAGGGAACUAAGGAGAAAAUAAUAUUUUAAUAAUAUUUAAUGAAAAUUAUAUUUUAUUAUUUAUAUUCAAUGACAUUUUAAAAACGGUCAUAAAUUCUUCAAAUUCUUCAAAUUUCCUCUUUUUCCGCCAAAACGCGAAUUUUGACUUUUUGUGAUAGCUUUUUCUUCCCUCCUUUCAAUUUGGGAUAUCCACAACUAUCAUAGUAGAUAAUUUUUGUUGUAAUGCAAAGACAUGGUUUUGUCACUCACCUUCAUUAGGCCUGUUCUCCUUCGUUUGAGCUUUGUUUUGGGUGAUUUUUGUUGCAUUGUUAUUGUAUUGAAGUCUAGAUUAUUAUUCUGUAUAUAAAUACAAAAUAGUGAAUAUAUGCAUGCAUAGGAGUAAAGUUAUGUAUAAAUUGUAUGGUCUAUUUGUUGGUUUUUAUGUCCUAAAACUCGUAGAUAAUAAAGUAUAAUUCAUUGACCAUUAUCAAUAAAGUGUUAUUAUUGUAAUAAAUGUGAUUGAUUAUAUUGUUAGUUUUGUCUUAAUAACCUAAAUUCAAUAAUCUAACAUUCUAUGCGGUUUGAUGAGUCUUGAACAGUAUGUAGAGACAUACAAAGAUCAAUGUUCGAAAUAAGCUUAAAGGGUCUAUAAUAUAGGGAUAAGGUUGGAUACCUUAUCUUGGUAACACUACAUGGAUAUGGUCUACUUUGUAUUUGAUACAAACGCAAUGAUCCAAUGCGUUUCUGUAGGUGACAUACGAGUGAGGGUACCAUAUGCAAUGAGUUUGCAUAAGAUCGGACCACAAAAUAGUAACAACUAGAUGUAACUCUAUUAACUAGCACUAGGAGAAAUCGAGGUUUUCCGAUGGAAAAAAAAAUCAUCGAGAAACGAAACAAAGCUAGAAGGAGGUUUUUUCCAAUGCACCAACUUCUACGUCGGGAGCGGUGCCUUUUCCCGACGCAUGUUAACGCACGUCGCGACUGCCUGGAAUAAUUAAUUAUACCGUAGAUUUUCUCCGAUGUGACAUCAGAAACGUCAAGAAAAAGGAUACAUAUUCCUGACGCAUAAGUAAGGGCGUUGGGAAUAUGUAGGCUAUCUCAACGUCUAUAGUGUUGCAUCGUGUAAGGGACAAAACAUUAAUUGUACCGUUGGCCUUCCUCCGAUGUGACGUCAGAGAUGUUGAAAAAAAGGGUACCUAUUCCCAAUUCCAUUAGUGAUGCGUCGGAGAUAGGUUGACUAUCUCGACAUUUUUAGGCAGCGUCGAGAGUUUCCCUUUUAAUAAAUCAUUCUUUUUUACAGAAUCGAAAGAGAAAAGAGAAAGAAAACGAGAGAGAGGGAGACUGAGAAGAAGAAGAGGAGAUUUCUCACGUCACCCUUGGUCCCCACCGUUCGCUGUUGUUUCGUCGUAGUCUUCUGCCACUCGCCGUUGCAUAUUGGUAAGUAGAUUUGUUUUAUUUAGAUUAGAAAUUAUGUUUUGAAUUAGAAAUUUAGUUUUUGAAUUAGUUUUGUUUUAGGAAUAAGAUUUUGAAUUAUGUUUUGCAUUAGAAAUUAUGUUAUAGGAGGGGUUGUAGAAUUGUUGAAUUGAAAAUUAAAGGGGGUUUAAGAUUGGAUUAUGAAUUUUUAAGGAGGGGGUGUCAAAUUAAAAAUUAAAGAGGGUGUGAAUAAAAAAUUAAUGGGAGAGGAGUGAAUUGAAAGUUAAAGAAGGGGGUUGAAUUCAAAUUCUUAGGUGGGGAAGGGUUUAAUAGAAAAUUGGGGGUUGUAGCAUUUAGUUCAAAUUUUAUUGUUUAUUUUUUAACUUUCGUUUAUUAGAACUACUAGGAAUUUACGGUUCAUUUAUUAUGGCUAUCCUGCAAUUAAUUAUGCUAGUAUCUUCUCUUUAGUUCAAACUUGGUUUAAAAUUAAUUAGAUAUAGUAGGGUGUUUGAUUAGUUUGUUCGGGCUAUCCUGUAGUUAUGGUAGUCUUUAUAGUUUGAACUUACCUUCAGUUAAAAGAUUAGGAAAAUUUGGGAUAGUUUAUUCAUAGAGUAAUUAAGUUUAGGAUUUGAGAGGAGGAAUAGAGGAUUAAUGAUCAAAGAUAAUUAUGUAUUAAGUCUUUAACGAUUGACAAGGGUGGAUGCAAGUUAGGAAUAAGUUGUUAGUUGAAUAUAGAGAGGAUUCUACAAAUUGCAAUGCUAUGCGUUAUUCCACUUAAUUUUGAGUAUGCUAGCAUUAUCAAAAUCUACCAACGAUCCCUUUAUAAACUUUGAUGAGAAUCUAUAUUAUAUUUUAUUUUAUUCGGAAUAUAUUUGGAGUAAGGUUAUGAAUGAAAUAUGUGGAAACUAAAAAGAAAUUAGUAUUGAAUAUGAACCAUGUAUGGAUUAUCAAAACUCUAUCGGUUUGAAUUUUAUAUUCUUCUUGAAGCAUAAUCGACACUAUUACAAAAACUAUAUUAGUUGAUAUUUUUCUACAUUAACUAUCAAUUUACUUAACCAUUAUAAAUAUGUCAAGUAAGUUCGUGUCAAUCUGUAAUUUACCCGAUACGUUAAAAAUGCAAGCAUAUGAAGUGAUCUGUUGACUCAUUUAAAGUGUAAAUGUCAAAAUUCUAGAUAUUUAAUUAUGGAUCAACGAUUUUAUAACAUGACAAUUUUUACUCGUCAAUGUUAACUUCAUCUUAGUGCAUACAAAAAUUACUUACUUCAUUAAUAUUGAUACAUUUUAAUUGUCAAUUAGUUCAAUUAGUUCAUAUGUGGUUUUUUUUUUUAAAAAAAAUCCUAUUAUUACAAAUUAUCUAGAAUUGGGAUCGUUAUAUGCGGUCCAAAAAUGUUAUAACUUAAUAGGAAAAGAUAAUGAUUUAUUAACGAGACAAACAAACAAUAUAUAUAUAUAUGGACAAUUUAAGCUAUCGAGCACCUUAUCUCCAUGACAUGAGUUUCAAAAAGAAAAUAAACUUCAAAUCAAUAAAGUCUUUGAUAAUCUAUGGAUAUGGAUGGUUGAUACUCAAUAGUAACUUUGUUCUAAUUUCCACCGAUUUUAUCUCUAACCUAUACUCCAAAUAUAUUUUUAAUAAAUUAAAAGAGAAUAGAUUCUCAUGAAUGUUUAAUGCUUUCAUGUUUUGAUUUUGAAAAUUAAAUAAUAUAAAGAGAGAGGGAAAGAGACCAAUGGAAAGAACAAGUUAUUGACUUUUUGAAAAUAAUAUUUAUUGGAGUCAUAUAGAAAUUAAACGAUGUUAUAUGCAUAAAUUUUAUAUAAUUACAUUACUUAAGAAUUAAUAGAUGUAUAAAAAGGAUAUUUUAACAAAUAAUAUUAUAUCCGUAUAUGAAUAAUUUAACUAGUUAGAGGGAACAUAAGAACAAUUUGAGUUGAAUAAUCAAUUAUCAUGAAGAAAAUCUAAAAGUUAACUAAUUUAUAUUAAAAAAUAAUUUAAAGUAACUAAAUGAAAAAGAGUAUACAAAAGUGAAAGAUGUUGAAAAAAUGGAAUAAACAAAAGAGAGAAAGGACAAGGGAUUUUUCACUUCUUUGUAAGCCUCCGGUAGGGUAUUUAGGAGAACAAAUGCCUCAUUAUCAUCAUUGAUUUUGUCUUCAAGAUUUUUAAAGUCUGAAACUAUUUUCUUGAACUCAACUAUGUUGUUUCUUAAACUUUUGGAAGGAUCCAUUUUGUAUGUGAAUAAUUUUUCCAUUGGAUACAUUUUGUUUGGGAGAUCUUUAGUGGCAUAAACGUUUUCUAAUUUCUUCCAAAUUUUAUGUGUUGUAUCUUCUUCUAAAACUUUCCUUACUACAUUGUCAUUAAGGUUUAGUAUUAGUGUUCCAUAGACAUUUAACUACAUUUCUUCCUUUUGUAUUGCUGUGAGGGUUGUUGGAAGUUUUGAAGGAUCUAAAAGGGCUUUAUGAGUCUUUUGUUGUUCGGGCAAGACUUUAACCUUUCCCUUCCAUAAGGCAAAGUCUCCAUUUCCAUCGAACUUCUAAAUUUCUACUCUUGCCACUGCCAUUAUUAAGAUUUGUUAUGCUUUAACUCUUCCAAGAUUCAGUUUCUUGAAAUCAAGAUUGGCUCUGAUACGAAUUAAUCUUGAUACGUUUAUGGGCCUUAUUUUCAAGUCCGCUUUAAGAUACUUGGAGGCAAUGGCGGAUCCAGAAAAUUUAUUGACGGGGGGCUUCGAGUUGUAACUUAGAGGAAAAAUAAAAAUCUGGAAAAAAAACUACAUAAGUAAGACUUGGACUCUGGUUGAAAGGGAGACUAACAAGCAUAGUUAAUAUAAACUGUCUACAAACAUUAAGUAUCAAAUGGUUUUGUUUAUACAUAUUAUAUGAAGACAAUAAAGUUAAGGGGGGCGAGCCUAUACUAAAUCCGCAUGUGCUUGGAGGAGAAGUCGCCACGUCAUUUGUAGCCUAGGAUAGCCGUACAUACGUGUCGAGGUAUUUGUUUAUUCCUGCAUGUUGAGAAAAGAAAAGAAAAUACGAAAGAUAAAGAAUUUAGAGAGAAAACAAUUACCCUUUCCUUUUCCUUCGUUCUUCUUCCCGAUCAUUUUUUCCUUUAUGAACAAACCCUAGAUUUUGCUUAAUAGUGCUUUAGAUUUUGAGUAUUUGAUGUGUUCACAGAGAUAUGAAGAUGAAGGAGAGGAGAAGAUUGCAAUAAAUCUUUACGUGGCUUGGCCAAAUUUGAAGCCUACGUCUACGGGGAAGGAUCUCUUUUUUUGUUAUUGAAAAGGAGUACAAAAGUUCUACUUUCCUAUUCUCUUUAUGUGCUUUUUAGAUUGUUUAUGUGACUGUUAAAAACUAGUUUAUUUUUUGAACACAUCUUUCUAUUUAGUGUUUACAAAAACAUAAUAAUAGAGAAAUUAGGGAAUGUGAGUAACUAAGGUUGUUGGAAUUCAAUUUUCUUUACAAAGAAGAUAAUCAUCUAUUAACGAAACAAAUAAACAAUGCAUAUAUACGAAUAAUUUAAGCUAUCAAUCAACCCAAAAUUUUCACUUACCAAACAAUGUUUAUAUAUCUCGAACAUAUACAACCCUCGUAAUCAUCUCAUGUUAACAAAGUUCACAAAGAGUUUCCAAGUUAGAGACUUAUCAACCCCAUAUAGAGAAUUUUAAAAAGAAUGGUCAAACCCCAAUAUAUAAACUAUAAUAUGAAACGAAUGAUCAAACUCAUAUCUAAACAGUUCUACAUAAUACACAACUAAUAUAUAUAUCACAUGCCCCUUAUGAUCAAACACACAUGUGAGAUUUGCAAUCUGCAUACAACAAAUGAACGUUCUACCCAUAUACUAACAAGGAGCAUUUUUAAAAUUAGCAAAAUAAAUUAAAAUAUUUUUUAUUCUACCAAUGAUAGUCUUCUAUAGUUCUAUCAGUGAUAGAAUUUGCUAUAGGUUGUAAAUAUUUUGUAAAAUUUCGUUAAUAAUUCCCCUACUAACAAAUAUGUCAAUUCCAUUGAUAAUAUAAAAAAAGAUAUCAACUUAUAUGACUACGUAUAUCUUUAAAAAUUGAGCACCCUUAUCUCCAUGACAUGAGUAUAAAAAAGAAUAUAAACUUCAAAUCAAUAAACUCUUUGAUAUGGAUGGUUCAUACUCACUAGUAACUUCUUUUUAAUUUCUACAGAUUUUAUCCCUAACCUAUACUCCAAAUAUAUUCUCGAUAAAUUAAAAGAGAAUAGAUUCUCAUGAAUUUGAAUGCUUUCAUGUUUUGAUAUUGCAAAUUAAAUAAUAUAACGAAAAAGUGAGUGAGAAAAAUGAAAAAGGAGAUGAAAAGAACAAGUUAUUGACUUUUCAAAAAUAAUAUUUAUUGGAGUCAUAUAGAAAUUAAACGAUGUUAGAUUGUACUUUGGAAGGCUAUUAUUAAACCUAUCAAAGAUAAAUAAUAAUAAUCAAUAAUAACAAUAAUAUAUAUAAGAAUUAGAAAAAUUGUAAAAAAAAAAUAGAAAAUUUGACAAAAUAUUUACCACAUAUAGUAAACUUUUGAGAUUCUAUCAAUAAUAGACAUUGAUAGUCACUGAUAUGUUUCUAUCAAUGACAUUGAUAGAAGGUGAUAAACAUCUACCCGUUUCUAUCAUUGGUAGAAUAAUUUUUUUUUUGUUAUAACUUGUAAUUAUUUUAAUUUAUUUUUUUAUUUUUAAAAAUGAUUUUAAAUAUUAUUUAUUUAUUCGAUGAUACAAAUGCACAUAAAUUUUACAAAGGGUCUUUUAACAAAUAAUUUUAUAUCUAUAUAUGUAUAAUUUAGGGACAAUUUUAAAAAUAGCAAAAUAAAUUAAUAUAUUUGCAAGCUAUAACAAAAUUUUAGAUUUUAUGAAUGAUAGUCUUUUAUCACUAUAACAUAUCAAUAACUAUCAGUGAUAUAAUUUGUUAGAGAUCGUAAUUAUUUUAUAAAAUUUGUUAUUUUUGAAAAUUUUCCAACAAUUUAACUAAUUACAUGGAACAAAAGAACAAUUUGAGUUGGAUAAUCAAUUAUCAUGAAGAGAAUAUAAAAGUUAACUAACUUAUAUUAAAAAACAAUUUAAAGUAACUAAAUGAAAAAAAAUAUAUAAUAAUGAAAGAGGUUGAAAAAAUGGAAUAAACAAGAGAGAGAGGAUAAGGGCUAGGAAAAAGUGGUUGCAUUUGGAAAGGUCUAAAAUGCCCUCAUGGAUGGAUAUAAAAGAACAAAGACAUCGCAGACUUCAACAUCUCAUCCUCCAUACCUGUAACCAAUCAAGGACCUUUAUACAACAUUUUUUCAUUCUGAUCUUUAUUUCUAUAUCUAUCUGAAUACCAUUUUAAUGGCAGGCUACAGCACACAUUAUUUGGCAUUUCCAAGAGCUUCCACAAUAACAUGGAGUGAUGACACUCGAUAUUGGAGUUGGGCCACCGUAGAUUUUUGCAGGUAUAAUCUUCAACUCAAAUUUUAUUUGUUCAUUUAUUCAUAUCUCAUACAUUUUCAUCCAUUUCUUUUGUCUUCAUUCAUAAAAAUAUAAACUAGUUAUUAGAUUCUACUUUCAUGAAUAUAGGUUAUGUUCCAAUUAUAUGUUAUUUAUUAUUGUUCUCUCUCACCAUGGUAUUUAAAACCUUGCAGCUACGCAAUUGAAGAAGCCCGACUUUUACAAGUAUCUUGGUUCGAUUGUCGUUGGAGCAUGGAUGCAUCUGAUUUCAAACAAGAUAUUUGGUACAAUGCAAGCGUUGAAGUAAUGUUGACAAGCAACGCCUCUGGAUGGAAUGUUCCACUACACCUUGAAAUCGAGUUGCCAGAUGGGAGUAAGCAAGAGUCUCAAAUAGUAUUGGCAGGUAGACAACCAAAUGUGUGGUUAAAGAUUCCAAUAGGUAAAUUCAUACUAAGGGGUUCUCUGACUAGCGGAACAAUCCGAUUCGGCUUGUACAACCAUGAAGGGAAUUGGAAAAGAGGCUUGAACAUAAGAGCCCUUGCCAUUCAAGCAUAAAAAUGAGUUUGAAAUGGUAUGUUCAAUAAUGAAUAUAAAGUAAUAGAAUAAAACCCUAAAUAAUAAGAUCUUUUGCUCUGUGACAAAAACUUUUAAGUUUAAAUGUGUUAUAUUUCAGUUAUGCAAGUAACUGUUGAAUAUAAUGUAACACAACAUAAAUAAAUAAAUAAUAUGACAUGUUGCAUAGUAGUAAUAAGGCCAGUUUAAACACUUUAGUAAGUUUUUCAAUAAAAGUAUGUACUGUGAGUUUGUUCAAAUUAAAUCUAAGCACUCAUUUUGUGAUUGCUGAUCAUUUUGUACAUACAUUUUGAAAAUUAAAAAGAUAAAAUGAAAACAAGUUAACACAAUCAUAAUUUUGAUAUUAUUAAUUUGUUAAUUAAAUUAGGAAUUAAAUGAACUAAAAGUAACAUGAGAAGACAAAAUUAACACUUGUGUAAAUGAUGUUGCAAGAGUUACUUUUACGUUGUGAUGGAUUAGUUUUACCACCUACUGAUUUUCAAUUAAAUAGUCACAAGACCUAUUUUAGGGUUCUCGUUUAAUCAAGUAUAAUAUGUAAUAUGUUGAUGUAAACCACAACUUCUUGAUAGUAAGAGUAGCGAAGUCCGAUUUAACCACACAAGAAGCUUCGUGUUUAAUAAUACUCUAAGGUAAAUUUUUCUAAGGAAAAGAGUAUAUAGUGGGAGAGUGGUUUAUAGGUAAAGUAAAUGACAUAAAUAAAGUGUGGGAAUGUAAGAUAAUAGUGAGAAAUAAUAGGGUUACCUAUAGAUUACCUUUCAAUUGAAAGAUUCUUGAGAUAGAUCAUACAGAUUGAUUCGUCAAUUUAUUAUAUAAGAAUAGGGUUAUAUAAUCUAAGUACAACAAUAGCAAAAACAAUCUAGAAACAUCGGACAAACUCUCUUAUCGUAAUGAAUCAAUCAUAGACAACAAAAUCAAUUUUAAACUAAUCAACACUACUACAAAAAAGGGUUUACUUGACACUUUUCAAUGGGUUUAAUAAUCCAGUUUUAAGUAUAAGGGAGGUUCAGACAAUUUUUAAGCGUCAAGUACAAUUAUACUUGACAGGUGAAAAACAUCAAGUAUAUUACUUGACGCUUUCUACUUGUCAAGUUAUCCAGUGUCAAGAAUAAAUGGGUUUUUUGUUUGAAAGUUUUUAUGCGUCAAGUAAAAUUGUACUUUACAGUUUAUGAAGGUCAAGUAUACAAGAUUAGUUGACAGUUUCUAUAUGUCAAGGAUUUGAUUACUCUUGACACUCUUUGCAUGUCAAGGUUUUUUUUUUUCAAAUGAAAAAUUAUAUAUUUUAAAAUUAUAAGAUAAUGCUUUUUACCAAAAAUUAUAUAUUUUAAAGUAUCGACAUAUAUAAUUUAUCAUGCACCUAUUUUGAAGUUCAACAAUGACGAACAUAAGUAAAGCAAGAGAGUACUGAAAUGUGUUAAAUUACACAUUAAUUGAACAAUUGAAUCAACUCAAAUUUUCCAUCAAAUAAGUAAUAGUAUCUUAACAAGUUGCAUAUAUAUAUGUGUGUGUGUAUAUAUAUAUAUAUCAAUGAACCAUACAUGUAGUUAGUCCAAAUUUAUAACAAAAGCCUAAACUUUCUAUCCAUGUGUAGCUUAUAGGUAUAGCCUAAACUUUCCAUCUAUGUAUAUAUAGCCUAAACUUUCCACCUAUGUAUAGCCUAAAGGGUACCAUACCAAAACUUGUCGUUCUAGUAUCAACAAAAUAUCAACACUAAUUCACCUAUAUCCAAUAUGAACAAAAUAUCACACUUAUAUUCAGUAUGAACAAAAUAUCAACAAAAUCUGUUUAUCUAACCAAAAAUAUAAUCACCAUAAUCAAAUGUGGCCACCCAAAAAAAUUAGCAAGCUUCAUUCGCACUUCAUCCAACUCGAAUUGACUAUAUGAGCUCCUUAUAUCAAUCUGAUAUGAAACCUAAAAUUUUGAAGUUAGUACUUUGAUUACUUAAAUUGUAUAAAAUAAUUCAAACAAUCAUUUAAACACAACAUACCGAAUCUAUGACUACUAUGUUUCCAUUAGUGAUUAUAUCUCUCAUGUAUCUCAUCAUAUAGUACCCGCAUUCAAAUAUUUCAACUUGCAAAGGACACUGUAUAUAUAUAAAUUACCAAAAUACUUCAUAGUGCAAAUACCCCAUAUAACGUAUACUUUUAAUUAACGAAUAAAUAUGUUUACACUUACCUUCCCUAUAUUUUCCAUAUUGGUUGUUUUCGACUUGUUUGAAUAUUUUUCUGAGAUUGAAAGAUAGUAAUAGUCCUAUUUCCAAGAAACAACUACACGUUACCCACAAAGUGAACUUUAAAACGAAAAACAUCAUACAUGAAAGAAGCUUAUUUAUGUGUCAAUUACAUAUCUAAUAUCUACUCUUGAUGUUGUUCAAAGUGAGUCAAUAUGGUAGACUUCAUCGUAUGCGUUAAUAGCCAGAAGUGUCAUUUCCCACUACAUAGAAAUAAUACAAGUAGAUUGUUUUCACUGUCAGUGCAAUACAUUUUAAUGACAAUAAGCAUUAAUUAUAGUCUACAAAUCAGUUUUUCUACGCUAAAUCAAAAGUAGACGACAACAAUAAAAGUUGAACCUCCCCCUCCCCCCACCCCCCAUGAUUGCCUUAACAUAAUCCAAAGCCCUAAGCUUGAUCAAUUCAAAGAAGCAAAUCACACAAUAUGAUCAAAAGCUAAAUGGAGAGCACAUAAAAGUAUGAGUUAUGUGUUUCAAUAUCAAUGGAAGAAGAAGCAAUAUAUUUUAAUGAAUCAAUUAGUAUAAUAUUACUUACUCUAGAUUAAAAGGAGCCCGAACGAUACAAAGAACUUACUCAUGUUGACAUCUUUGAAUCUACAAUCCACCGAAUUUGGGGACACCACCCGUCAGAGACCUUCCUAUCCUAUGGGACGAGAUUGAUUUGUGGGAACUAAUUGAGAUGGAAAAAGUUUUAGAGAGAAACUAUUUUGCAGAAAAAGAAAAUCAUUAGUUUAAUUGAUUGGUUAAGAAAAACUGUUUUUCUUUGCAUAUUUAUAAAUCUUUUUUCUUUGUGGAGUAGGAGAGAACCAUGAGACUCUGUUAAUUUUAAAAUAUGAGAAUUAUGAGAUUCUGUUAAUUUUAAAAUAUUAAAUUAAUAGAAAUUUCAAAUCAUCUAAUUAAUUAACAAUUAAAUCAUAUUUCAUUUAAAUCUUAUUUAAUGAAUAUAUCUAUGAUAUCUUAUUAAUUUAAUUAAAUAAAACUAAACUAUUGAUUAAUUUUCUGAUUAAUUAAUAGUUAAAUUAAAUAUCUUAUAUUUAACUUAAAUUAAAUUUGAAUCAUAUUCAAAUAUAAAUUUCUCUCGUAACCAAUAAUUUUAAUAGGAAUUCAAUUGACAUUAAAUUAAUAUUUGAACUCAUUCAAAUAUUUUAUCUCUCAUAAAUUAAUUUUGAAUCAGUACGAAGAAGGUUGAACUCGAACGGAGAGAAGAGAUUGCGAGGUGGUGACAGUUAGCUUGGAUAUGGGGAGAGAAGAUGAAAAAAAAAAAAAGAUGUGGAAUGGCAUGCGUGGGUUUAUUUUUUUAAAUAUAAUGAUGAUGAUAAUAAUAAUAGAAUCUAUUACUAUUAUUAUUACUACAUAAACAAUAACUAUUAUUAUUUUACGUGUAUUUAUCAAGUUUCUAUUUCUUUCUUUUCCACAACUUCUAUCAAAACAACACCCAACAAUUUAAAAUCUUUAAAUAAAAUGGCAAUUUGUUUAAAAUAAAAUACCUCAAAGUCAAGGAUAUUACAUUUAAAAAUUGAGCACCCUUAUCUGGAUGACAUGAGUUUCAAAAAGAAUAUAAACUCCAAAUCAAUAAACUCUUUGAUAUGGAUGGUUCAUACUCAGUAGUAACUUCUUUUUAAUUUCUACAGAUUUUAUCCCUAACCUAUACUCCAAAUAUAUUCUCGAUAAAUUAAAGAGAAUAGAUUCUCAUGAAUUUUAAUGCUUUCAUGCUUUGAUAUUGAAAAUUAAAUAAUAUAACGAAAAAGUGAGUGAGAAAAAUGGAAAAGGAGAUGAAAAGAACGGGUUAUUGACUUUUCAAAAAUAAUAUUUAUUAGAGUCAUAUAGAAAUUAAACCACGUUAGAUUGUACUUUGGAAGGCUAUUAAUAAACCUAUCAAUUAUAAAUAAUAAUAACAUUAAUAUAUAUAAGAAUUAGGAAAAUUGUAAAAAAAAAAAAAGUAAAUUUGACAAAAUAUUUACAACAUAUAACCAAAUUUUGAGAUUCUAUCAAUAACAGAUAUUGAUAGCCACUGAUAUGCUUCUAUCAAAGACAUUGAUAGACGGUGAUAGAAAUCUACCCGUUUCUAUCAUUACUAGAAUAAUUUUUUUUUUGUUAUAACUUGUAAUUAUUUUAAUUUAUUUUGUUAUUUUAAAAAAUGCUUCUAAAUAUUAUUUAUUUAUUCGAUGAUACAAAUGCCCAUAAACUUUACAUAAUUACACUCUUAUAAAAAUGGUCUUUUAACAAAUAAUUUUUAUAUCCAUAUAUGUAUAAUUUAGAGACAUUUUUAAAAAUAGCAAAAUAAAUUAAUAUAUUUACAAGCUAUAACAAAAUUUUAGAUUUUAUCAAUGAUAGUCUUCUAUCACUAUAACAUAUCAAUGACUAUCGGUGAUAGAAUUUAUUAGAGAUCGUAAAUAUUUUAUAAAUUUUGCUACUUUUAAAAAUAUUCCAACAAUUUAAUUAAUUACAGGGAAGAUAAGAACAAUUUUAGUUGAAUAAUCAAUUAUCAAGAAGAAAAUAUAAAAGUUAACUAACUUAUAUUAAAAAAUAAUUUAAAGUAACUAAAUGAAAAAGAGUAUAUAAAAAUAAAAGAUGUUGAAAAAAUGGAAUAAACAAAAGAGAGAAAGGAUAAGGGAUAGGAAAAAGUGGUUGCAUUUGGAAAGGUCUAAAAUACCCUCAUAGAUGGAUAUAAAAGAACAAAGAUAUCCUCCAUACUUGAAACCAAUCAAGGACCUUUAUACAACAUUUUCUCAUUCUCAUCCUUACUUUUAUAUCUCUCAAAUACCAUUUUAAUGGCAGGCCAAAGCACACAUUAUUUGGCAUUUCCAAGAGCUUCCACAAUAACAUGGGGUGAUGACACUCGAUAUUGGAGUUGGGCCACCGUGGAUUUUUGCAGGUAUAAUCUUCAACUCAAAUUUUAUUUGUUCAUUUAUUCAUAUCUCAUACAUUUUCAUCCAUUUCUUUUGUCUUCAUUCAUAAAAAUAUAAACUAGUUAUUAGAUUCUACUUUCAUGAAUAUAGGUUAUGUUCCAAUUAUAUGUUAUUUAUUAUUGUUCUCUCUCACCAUGGUAUUUAAAACCUUGCAGCUACGCAAUUGAAGAAGCCCGACUUUUACAAGUAUCUUGGCUCGAUUGUCGUUGGAGCAUGGAUGCAUCUGAUUUCAAACAAGAUAUUUGGUACAAUGCAAGCGUUGAAGUAAUGUUGACAAGCAACGCCUCUGGAUGGAAUGUUCCACUACACCUUGAAAUCGAGUUGCCAGAUGGGAGUAAGCAAGAGUCUCAAAUAGUAUUGGCAGGCAGACAACCAAAUGUGUGGUUCAAGAUUCCAAUCGGUAAAUUCAUACUAGGGGGUUCUCUGACUAGCGGAACAAUCCGAUUCGGCUUCUACAACCAUGAAGGGAAUUGGAAAAGAGGCUUGAACAUAAGAGCCCUUGCCAUUCAAGCAUAAAAAUGAGUUUGAAAUGAUAUGUUCAAGAAUGAAUAUAAAUUAAUAUAAUAAAACCCUAAAUAAUAAGAC
Molecule: long non-coding RNA, 17319 nt
Filed under: Cucumis sativus (cucumber)
Lineage: Eukaryota; Viridiplantae; Streptophyta; Magnoliopsida; Cucurbitales; Cucurbitaceae
Description: long non-coding RNA (CSAT_LNC001661)
Source: RNAcentral